RNAcentral lists this ribosomal RNA (465 nucleotides) under uncultured Klebsiella sp. RNAcentral describes it as "bacterial SSU rRNA". It matches the Rfam family "Bacterial small subunit ribosomal RNA", at positions 338 to 795 of the family's 1533-position model. Lineage: Bacteria; Pseudomonadati; Pseudomonadota; Gammaproteobacteria; Enterobacterales; Enterobacteriaceae. The record is from RNAcentral.
CCUACGGGAGGCAGCAGUGGGGAAUAUUGCACAAUGGGCGCAAGCCUGAUGCAGCCAUGCCGCGUGUGUGAAGAAGGCCUUCGGGUUGUAAAGCACUUUCAGCGGGGAGGAAGGCGGUGAGGUUAAUAACCUCAUCGAUUGACGUUACCCGCAGAAGAAGCACCGGCUAACUCCGUGCCAGCGGCCGCGGUAAUACGGAGGGUGCAAGCGUUAAUCGGAAUUACUGGGCGUAAAGCGCACGCAGGCGGUCUGUCAAGUCGGAUGUGAAAUCCCCGGGCUCAACCUGGGAACUGCAUUCGAAACUGGCAGGCUAGAGUCUUGUAGAGGGGGGUAGAAUUCCAGGUGUAGCGGUGAAAUGCGUAGAGAUCUGGAGGAAUACCGGUGGCGAAGGCGGCCCCCUGGACAAAGACUGACGCUCAGGUGCGAAAGCGUGGGGAGCAAACAGGAUUAGAUACCCUGGUAGUC